RNAcentral lists this transfer RNA (69 nucleotides) under Pseudolebinthus lunipterus. Its description in RNAcentral is "Pseudolebinthus sp. 1 RN-2019 tRNA-Gln". Lineage: Eukaryota; Metazoa; Arthropoda; Insecta; Orthoptera; Gryllidae. The record is from RNAcentral.
GUAUUUUGGUGUAUGAUGCACGGUGAAUUUUGAGUUCUUAGGUAAUAGUUUAAUUCUAUUAAAUACAAU